Molecule: unclassified non-coding RNA, 687 nt
Filed under: Hevea brasiliensis (rubber tree)
Lineage: Eukaryota; Viridiplantae; Streptophyta; Magnoliopsida; Malpighiales; Euphorbiaceae
Source: RNAcentral
GGGAACUUAGAAAGCGAUGCCGAUGCAAAGUUGAAGAAGCAGCUCUCUGAUGCCAAAUGCAAGGAGCUUAGUGGACAUGACAUAUUCGCCCCUCCUCCUGAGAUUUUGCCUCGACCAACAACUGCUCGUACUUUGGAUUUAAAAGGAAGUAUAGAGAUUGGAGAGCCUGUUAAUAGAAAUGUGAUCCCCGGAGAAGAACCUUCGGUAAAGACAGCAAAGAAGAUUUACGACAAGAAGUUUUCGGAGUUAUCAGGAAAUGACAUCUUCAAAGGCGACAUUCCUCCAUCUUCUGCAGAGAAACCGUUGAGCGUCGCAAAGUUGCGAGAGAUGAGUGGCAACGACAUAUUUGCAGACGGGAAGGUAGAGACCCGAGACUACUUAGGCGGAGUACGCAAACCUCCGGGGGGAGAGAGCAGCAUUGCGUUGGUUUAAAUCAUCUAGGUUUCUAACAAAACUCAAUACUUUCUCUUGGCGGGGGAGAUGAUGGAUAGAUAUGGUGUUAUGGAAAUUGUCAUAUGGUUUGGGUAAAAUUAUGUUAUUAGGUUUUAACUUUGGUUAGUCAACAACAAUGGAGUCUCUGCUAAUUGGGGUUGUGUUCCAUAAUGUUUUUGUACUUUUGGUUGUGUUGUGUGUCUGUGUCUAGUAGUUCGGUUUUAUUUUGGUUGUCUUCUGUCUAUUUUACUUUCA